This 372-nucleotide long non-coding RNA is filed under the name Capsicum annuum. RNAcentral's name for it is "long non-coding RNA (CANN_LNC016920)". Lineage: Eukaryota; Viridiplantae; Streptophyta; Magnoliopsida; Solanales; Solanaceae. The record is from RNAcentral.
CCUGAUUCUAUGUUUUUGAACCUUUUUCAGCUCGAGUCUUGCUCCACCUGUGUUAAAUUUACAACUUUGGCUUCAAGACCCAAAUGAAUGAAUAAAGGAAUUAAAAAAUACAUACGACAACAAUAGAUAAAUAACGACAACAAAUAAAUAACCAAAAAUAAGGCUCGGGUUUUGUUGUCGCUUCGAGAGCGGGAUUUAACCCAUUUCCCCUUCUUUCGACUCCUUGUAUCCAUAUGCUAUGUAACCGGCUUUGAGUUUCCUUCAUUUUGACUCAAAAAGAAGGGCCGCGUGGGCCCAUUAUGAGAUGCAAGGAAAAGGAGCCCGUUUGGGCUCCAAGGUGAUUCAUGCAAAGAAAAGAUACAAAGAAUUAAU